CCCUUAGAGUUUGAUCCUGGCUCAGAUUGAACGCUGGCGGCAGGCCUAACACAUGCAAGUCGAGCGGUAGCACAAGGAGCUUGCUCCUGGGUGACGAGCGGCGGACGGGUGAGUAAUGUCUGGGAAACUGCCCGAUGGAGGGGGAUAACUACUGGAAACGGUAGCUAAUACCGCAUAACGUCUUCGGACCAAAGUGGGGGACCUUCGGGCCUCACACCAUCGGAUGUGCCCAGAUGGGAUUAGCUAGUAGGUGAGGUAAUGGCUCACCUAGGCGACGAUCCCUAGCUGGUCUGAGAGGAUGACCAGCCACACUGGAACUGAGACACGGUCCAGACUCCUACGGGAGGCAGCAGUGGGGAAUAUUGCACAAUGGGCGCAAGCCUGAUGCAGCCAUGCCGCGUGUGUGAAGAAGGCCUUCGGGUUGUAAAGCACUUUCAGCGAGGAGGAAGGGUUCGGUGUUAAUAGCACCGUUCAUUGACGUUACUCGCAGAAGAAGCACCGGCUAUCUGC
This 510-nucleotide ribosomal RNA is filed under the name uncultured bacterium. Its description in RNAcentral is "bacterial SSU rRNA". It matches the Rfam family "Bacterial small subunit ribosomal RNA", at positions 1 to 504 of the family's 1533-position model. The record is from RNAcentral.